Molecule: ribosomal RNA, 274 nt
Filed under: uncultured bacterium
Lineage: Bacteria
Description: partial 16S ribosomal RNA
Rfam family: Bacterial small subunit ribosomal RNA
Source: RNAcentral
AUACGGAGGGUGCAAGCGUUAUCCGGAAUCAUUGGGUUUAAAGGGUCCGUAGGCGGAUAAUUAAGUCAGAGGUGAAAUCCCACAGCUUAACUGUGGCACUGCCUUUGAUACUGGUUAUCUUGAGUUACAGGGAAGUAGAUAGAAUAUGUAGUGUAGCGGUGAAAUGCAUAGAUAUUACAUAGAAUACCGAUUGCGAAGGCAGUCUACUAUCUGUAUACUGACGCUAAUGGACGAAAGCGUGGGGAGCGAACAGGAUUAGAAACCCCAGUAGUCC